Molecule: transfer RNA, 74 nt
Filed under: Felis catus (domestic cat)
Lineage: Eukaryota; Metazoa; Chordata; Mammalia; Carnivora; Felidae
Rfam family: tRNA
About the family: Transfer RNA (tRNA) molecules are approximately 80 nucleotides in length. Their secondary structure includes four short double-helical elements and three loops (D, anti-codon, and T loops).
Source: Rfam by way of RNAcentral
GCCUGGCUGACUCAGUCAGAAGAGUAUGAGACUCUUGAUCCUGGGGGUCAUGGGUUCAAGCCCCAUGUUGAGUG